CUGUAGCCGCAAUCUGUGUAUGGUUUGUAGCUUCCACCCCCGACAACACCGUAAAUAAUAAAAAAACUAAAAGGUAAACUUGCUUAUAUUCCUCUGUGAACAUCAUAAAAGAUAAAACAAGUCGUGUGUAGUGUUAGAAACGAAUCAAAAGAGUGUUUUCUUAGACGCAUUGAAGAUCAAAUUGCGCUCAUGUUUGGUCACAUCAAUCCACCAAUGAUCAAUCUCAUGAUCG
This is a non-coding RNA of Paramuricea clavata, 232 nucleotides long. The record is from the annotation of a GenBank genome assembly. NCBI's taxonomy places the organism in Eukaryota, Metazoa, Cnidaria, Anthozoa, Malacalcyonacea, Plexauridae.